GGGGAUGUCACGGUUUCGACGGGGGCGUGGAGGCUGGAAUAGCGGGCGGCGGCGCCUGACCGCCAUAAAACGGGCAACCUUAUAAAUUAAAGAACAACGAUAACACUGUUCUUCUCGCUGCUUAAUUAGCGAGCGUUCCCGCCGGGAGGCCCACGGCCCGGAUGCGGAGCGUCGAUGAGUGGGGAACGUGCGCUCGGUAAGCUUUGCCCGAGCCACGCAUCAUGAAGCUACCGGACCGGAUGGGUUUGCGUGUUGACCCGCCGUGAUGGGAACAGACGCUUUCAGAGCGUCAGGACAACCCGCUGCGCCCGGAGAAGUUCCUGUCAAAACACUUUCGGACGGGGGUUCAACUCCCCCCAUCUCCACCA
RNAcentral lists this small RNA (368 nucleotides) under Oscillospiraceae. RNAcentral's name for it is "CAG-103 sp900316745 Standard tmRNA". It matches the Rfam family "transfer-messenger RNA". Rfam says of the family: Bacterial tmRNA, also known as 10Sa RNA or SsrA, is named for its dual tRNA and mRNA-like properties. Its role is to liberate the mRNA from a stalled ribosome. To accomplish this part of the tmRNA is used as a reading frame that ends in a translation stop signal. Lineage: Bacteria; Bacillati; Bacillota; Clostridia; Eubacteriales. RNAcentral also lists the same sequence under 1 other name. The record is from RNAcentral.